Molecule: small RNA, 72 nt
Filed under: uncultured Butyrivibrio sp.
Lineage: Bacteria; Bacillati; Bacillota; Clostridia; Lachnospirales; Lachnospiraceae
Description: RAGATH-18 RNA
Rfam family: RAGATH-18 RNA
About the family: Actinobacteria, Firmicutes, Fusobacteria, Thermotogae (1 example). Nearby to self-cleaving ribozyme genes
Source: RNAcentral
CUGUGGAGUGUACAAGAACUUGUGAGUAGCGUAUUGUAAAAAGUCGCCAAAACAUACACGUUGAAACAGUAA